AUAAAGGGCCGGUCACAGGAACAUCUGAACGCAUGGGGGAAUUGAGUCAAUAAAGAUCCAUGUCGAUGAAAAUGGAAUCUCAGCCAGCAUCUCCGGGAUUUGGAGCGUCACUGCAACUGAAGGACUGCAUAGAAGAGCUGCUGAGAUUCACACUUGUUUCCUCCAUUGACGGCACUUUUGAAAUUGACUUAGAUCUCUCUAAAGACUACUGCUCCACCCUCUUACAAGAAGAUCCCUCCGACUUUUUUCCCAAUUGUACUGGUCCUUCUGAAGGAGUUCCGUUAUAUCCUUUAUACAAGCGCCUUGCAGCAUCCUUAUUUGAAGCUUUUUCUUCUGAAGCCUUGCCAAGGACAGAAAACAAACUUG
RNAcentral lists this unclassified non-coding RNA (366 nucleotides) under Hevea brasiliensis (rubber tree). The record is from RNAcentral. Lineage: Eukaryota; Viridiplantae; Streptophyta; Magnoliopsida; Malpighiales; Euphorbiaceae.